Molecule: long non-coding RNA, 3735 nt
Organism: Ictalurus furcatus (blue catfish)
Lineage: Eukaryota; Metazoa; Chordata; Actinopteri; Siluriformes; Ictaluridae
Exons: 4
Source: RefSeq, a predicted model, not a curated record
UGUGUGUGUGUGUGUGUGUGUGUGUGUGUGUGUGAGAGAGAGAGAGAGAGAGUGUGUGUGAUGGUUGGAGAGGUGAACUGUCCAUCAUUUGCAUGCACGGACACUUCCUCACUGGCUCCAGACUGAAUCAAUGACAGGACCAAAGCUUAUCCAGUUCAUCGUUAUUCAGGUGUGUAAGCGCAUAUAAGUUGCAUCAUCUCUCCAGGAGCAGUCACAUAGCCUCCGAAACAGCCUCAGAUCUCCUCAGCAGGCAUUCGACACGUCUCUGAAACCGUACUGGAACGCCGUUCUCCCGGAAGAUGUUCCCUCGGAUGGUGGUGCCGACUGCUCGGUGCUCGGCCUCCUUUCAGAAUCUCUUGACUAAGACUACGCUCUCUAAUACCACCCCAAUUCCAAAAAAGGGAAAUUAAGGUCAUUUGGAAUUUCAUGGCCGCAACACGUCUCGGAAAAGUUGGGACGGGGGCAACGAAAUGCUGGAAAAGUACGCUUAAGUGUUACUAAAAAGAAACAGCUGGAGGUUCAUUGGCAACAGGGAAAACCUACUCGGGAACUGAGGAUGGUGUCCAGGAAGUGACAUGAAAUCAAAAUGGCUGCUCACAGUCAUCAUGAACAGUAAACAAAGUAGCACUUCUUUACCUUAAAAUGAGUUAUUGCGUGUGUGUGUGUGUGUGUGUGUGUGUGUGUGUGUGUACGUAAGUAUUUGCUUUAGAUCAAUCAAAAUGUAUUGACAUAUUGGCUUGUUUAAAUCUAUAACAUUUUAACUAUAACUUUGCUGUUUUGAGGAGGUAAAUAUACAUCACUCAUCACAGCUAGAGCGCUGGGUUGUUGCUAACUAGAGGCAGAUACGGAGACGGCGAAGGGUUUUCCUACUUUGCUGCUUGAAAAUGACACGUCCUGAGUUACCACUUCCGAGACAUUAAUAACAAGAAAUCUAGCCAAAAGAACUGACUGGAUGAAUUAGCGAUUACUCCCACACCAACGUUAGCAUGAACAGAGAUCAGUUGUGCGAAGAGACGACAACGAGGCUAGUGCUCACGGCCUCAUGUGACUUUUACCUCAGGCGAUGAGACGGAAACUGAUGAGGACGACGCUGAUGAUCAAAGUCGGAUCUCAUUUCACGUUGGAAACGUGUAAUUCGUUAAACCUUUUUAAAAAAAAGUGAAGGUUUUUUUUUUUUUCUUCAGUAAGUAAAGUAGAAUUGGAAUGAAAUAUUGGUGUGAUUUUCUUUAUUGGCACUAUUAUGGUCGAGAAACAACACGAUGCAAAACAUAUUCCAGUCAAGGUCUCGUCUAUAGUUUUCUGAACUGUAUGUCUUUAUCCUAAGUACUUUUAUCAAAUGGACAAGAGGCUGUCAGAAUAAAAUUACUGACUCAGAAGCUAUUCACAUUUUUAAUAUUUUGAUAUAAUGUUAUUUUGAUAAAUAAAAAUGACACGUCUCCUAAGCUUAUCGGCUAAAUGAUCUCCGAAUGGGUUAGAGUGGGGUCGUUUUCUUAUUCAUUAUGAACCAAAAAAAACAAACAAACUAUGUGGAAGUAGGUAACAGUUUACAACAUGGAUUCAUUGGAGACAAUACAGUAUUUCUGUGUCAUUUUAUUGGGCAUAAAGGGCAUUAUGUUACGUAUUUAUCCAUAACUAAUCCUAACCCUAACCCUGUAGUUUUGAUGUUGCUUCCGGUUAUUAUUUGCUUAAGAAAAGCCAUAUGAUUUUGAACUUUUAGACUAAAAUGAACGAAUAGUGCGGUGCUGCUGCUAACAUCCGCUUCUUCUGUGGCAGUACUGUAGUACAUCAUAGCCUCGUUGAUAUUCAAAUGCGUUCAAAGCACAAAAUCUUCUAAUUAAUUCUCAUUCAAAUGCGAAGGAAUUCAACAGGCCUAAUACGAACAGGCAUAUCACACAGAUCUACACUUUUUCCAUAGGAUUUUUCAUUUCUUUACUGUGUCUAAUGUGAUGAAGCAAGUUCACCCUCCCAUGCGUACACACACACACAUACUUGACAACACUAUUUUAGCAAUAAUGUGAUUGUGUUUGUUUAUUUGAUUAAAUAAGCGAGUACACACAAAGCCCACGGUGUGUCACGGCUCUCGGGUUUCUAAGCCGUGUGAGCACGUGAGACCAGGAAGUACAACCUCUACACGUGUUAUAACGACUCAUCUGUUUCAUUUACUCGAAGUACUUUGACUGGAAGUAUUGCUGGUAACUCAAAGUUUGAUCUUCUUGAAGGCACUAAUUGUUGCCUUUUGAGAUUUACUAAUGGCAUAAUUAAAUACAUAAAAUGUGAUUCAUUAUAUAUUUCUAUCCCACACUCGGAUAAAAUCUUAUCGCCCUGUUCUAAGACCCAGCAUUAGCAUGUGCAGCAAUAUAGCACAAGCAAAUAAAUAUUUCUGCUUUUGCUGGCAUCACUUAAGGCAUUUUUUUUUUGUGUGUCCCUGAAGGAUAACUUCAUGCAUUAUUGAAGCAGUGCGUCCCAGACAGCAGAGUAAGACCGAGAUCUCCCUGAUCAUAUUGUGUGUGUGUGUGUGUGUUAUCAAAUUUCUUUGUCGUUGUAUUGAACAAACAGACAGUGUUCUGAGUGAAGAUGCAAACAUAAGAAUUUACACUAUAGAUUUCUUUUUUUUUCAGCUAGUCACACACUUGAUUACUAUAAGGAGCGGGAACAAGGGAGAUUUUCCAGUUUGUGUAGAACGAGUCAACCAAAAAGAACACACACAAUUACAAUACACACACCGGGAUCUUUUUUAUUUUUUAUUUUUUUUUAAAGUGUGUACUGUAGUGUUAUUAGUUCACUUACUUCUUCCUUAUUCUUACAUCCUGCCCUUGGUUACAAUAUCUGUGUUAAACGUAAAGACGGAACGUCUUUACUGAACAAGUUCAGUGCGACAUGGACGUUACAAAAGACAAAAUGAGCCAAACGGAUUCCUUCAACGACCAGAUGAUUUGGAUCAGUGAAUCAGUUUAAAAGGCAAACGAUUGAAAUGAAUCGAAGAGACGAUCAUAAUUCAAUCGGGCUGACAGCCGGUGUGUAAAGCAUCAUUUGUAGUUUUAAACUGGUGUGUAAGCAGCCUAGUAUGGUGAUAUGUGUCAUCAUUAUUUGCGACCUUACAGUUCCCCAGAUUCUGAACAAAAUUGCUCAUAUAUUGAUCAGAAUCCAAUAAAUUGAAUCAUUUCAGUGGUAUCAUCAAAAAGUGAAUCACGGCUGAGUUUUACAUAUCUACCUUUUCAGUCCUAGUGAUUCGAUGAGCUGUGGUUAAUGGCAAGCCUGACAAUAACUGUGUGUUCAGUACAGAAGUAUUUCUUAGUAUUUAUUCUUAAGCGUCCAGUCUGUGAACAAGAACAUAGCAACAAGCCAAGUUUGUUUCUAUAGUAACAAGUUCACAGCAACCUGGAAGUCUAAUUAAUACAAAGUCAAAUCCAGAAAUGCAAACGGAUUCCUUCUUUGCUAGUAAUUCGACGAGUCGAGAGAUCGUCCGUCAUUAUUCAGGUCUGCACUUUGUACCCUGAGCCGAACUCGUUGGUGGAGCUGCUAAGAUCGUCUCGGUCGUCUCUUUCUGUAGCCACGAAGCAGUCAUGUCAUGUACAAUCUGGUAACAAAAGCAAUGGAAGCGUUUCUAAAGAAAGCUGUAGCGCAUGUAUGGAAUCAUCGAUGAGUCUGGAUUUUUGCGCAUGAUUAAGUAUUCUCGAGUACUGAUGCAGUCAACCAUCUCAUCACUACUUCAGCAACAAGGUUAUAACAAGGCCU